UACGGGGGGGGCAAGCGUUGUUCGGAAUUACUGGGCGUAAAGGGCGUGUAGGCGGCCAACUAAGUCCGACGUGAAAUCCCCAGGCUUAACCUGGGAACUGCGUCGGAUACUGGAUGGCUUGAAUUCGGGAGAGGGAUGUGGAAUUCCAGGUGUAGCGGUGAAAUGCGUAGAUAUCUGGAGGAACACCGGUGGCGAAGGCGGCAUCCUGGACCGGUAUUGACGCUGAGGAGCGAAAGCCAGGGGAGCAAACGGG
Molecule: ribosomal RNA, 253 nt
Filed under: uncultured bacterium
Lineage: Bacteria
Description: partial 16S ribosomal RNA
Rfam family: Bacterial small subunit ribosomal RNA
Source: RNAcentral